This 65-nucleotide transfer RNA is filed under the name Trichocera sp. Its description in RNAcentral is "tRNA-Pro". Lineage: Eukaryota; Metazoa; Arthropoda; Insecta; Diptera; Trichoceridae. The record is from RNAcentral.
CAGAAAAUAGUUUAAAAAAAAUAUUAAUUUUGGAGAUUAAUGAUAAAGGCAUUCUUUUUUUCUGA